GAUGAAGAACGUAGCGAACUGCGAUAAGUAAUGUGAAUUGCAGAAUUCAGUGAAUCAUCGAGUCUUUGAACGCACAUUGCGCCCCCUGGCAUUCCGGGGGGCAUGCCUGUCCGAGCGUCAUUGCUGCCCUUCAAGCCCGGCUUGUGUGUUGGGUCGUCGUCCCCCCCGGGGGACGGGCCCGAAAGGCAGCGGCGGCACCGCGUCCGGUCCUCGAGCGUAUGGGGCUUUGUCACCCGCUCGAUUAGGGCCGGCCGGGCGCCAGCCGGCGUCUCCAACCUUCUAUUUUACCAGGUUGACCUCGGAUCAGGUAGGGAUACCCGCUGAACUUAAGCAUAUCAAUAAGCGGGGA
This 349-nucleotide unclassified non-coding RNA is filed under the name soil metagenome. Its description in RNAcentral is "partial contains 5.8S ribosomal RNA, internal transcribed spacer 2, and large subunit ribosomal RNA". The stretch from base 1 to 120 matches the Rfam family "5.8S ribosomal RNA", at positions 35 to 154 of the family's 154-position model. The record is from RNAcentral.